This 900-nucleotide ribosomal RNA is filed under the name uncultured Methanosarcinales archaeon. Its description in RNAcentral is "bacterial SSU rRNA". It matches the Rfam family "Archaeal small subunit ribosomal RNA", at positions 21 to 923 of the family's 1478-position model. Lineage: Archaea; Methanobacteriati; Methanobacteriota; Methanomicrobia; Methanosarcinales. The record is from RNAcentral.
AGGUUACUGCUAUCGGUGUUCGAUUAAGCCAUGCGAGUUAAAUGUUCUUCGUGAACAUAGCGAACUGCUCAGUAACACGUGGACAAUCUGCCCUUGGGUUCGGCAUAACUCCGGGAAACUGGAGAUAAUACCGAAUAGACCAUUGAAGCUGGAAUGCUCUUUGGUCCAAAGUUCCGGCGCCCAAGGAUGAGUCUGCGGCCUAUCAGGUUGUAGUGGGUGUAACGUACCUACUAGCCUACGACGGGUACGGGUUGUGAGAGCAAGAGCCCGGAGAUGGAUUCUGAGACAUGAAUCCAGGCCCUACGGGGCGCAGCAGGCGCGAAAACUUUACAAUGCGGGAAACCGCGAUAAGGGGACACCGAGUGCCAGCAUACUAUGUUGGCUGUCCACAUGUGUAAAUAGCAUGUGUUAGCAAGGGCCGGGCAAGACCGGUGCCAGCCGCCGCGGUAACACCGGCGGCCCGAGUGGUAAUCACUAUUAUUGGGUCUAAAGGGUCCGUAGCCGGUUUAAUCAGUCUUCCGGGAAAUCUGACAGCUCAACUGUUAGGCUUCCGGGGGAUACUGUUAGACUUGGGACCGGGAGAGGUAAGAGGUACUACAGGGGUAGGAGUGAAAUCUUGUAAUCCCUGUGGGACCACCAGUGGCGAAGGCGUCUUACCAGAACGGGUCCGACGGUGAGGGACGAAAGCUGGGGGCACGAACCGGAUUAGAUACCCGGGUAGUCCCAGCCGUAAACGAUGCUCGCUAGGUGUCUGGAAUGGUGCGACCGUUUCAGGUGCCGCAGGGAAGCCGUGAAGCGAGCCACCUGGGAAGUACGGCCGCAAGGCUGAAACUUAAAGGAAUUGGCGGGGGAGCACCACAACAGGUGGAGCCUGCGGUUUAAUUGGAUUCAACGCCGGAA